This 324-nucleotide ribosomal RNA is filed under the name Pholcus bamboutos. RNAcentral describes it as "partial 12S ribosomal RNA". The record is from RNAcentral. Lineage: Eukaryota; Metazoa; Arthropoda; Arachnida; Araneae; Pholcidae.
UAUUAAACCCUUAGGUAGUAAAAUAAACCAAUAUGUAAUGGCGGUCUUUACUAUUUAGAGAAACUCGCUUUAUAAUCGUAAAUACCCGUUAAAUCUAACUUUAUUUAAUCAAGCCUAUAUACCGCCGUUUAGAAUAUAUAAACCCUUAAUACUCGAAUACCUACCCACGCUUAGGCAAAAAUCAGGUCAAGGUGUAGCCCAUAAUAAAGCGAAAGUAAGUUACAUUAAAAAUCAUUUAAGGAUUGAAAGCUAAAACAAGCAUGAAAAAGAAUUUAUUAGUAAGUAAUAAUUAAAAACUAAUACCGAAAUAACAUUUAAAGAUGC